RNAcentral lists this ribosomal RNA (800 nucleotides) under uncultured Mycobacterium sp. RNAcentral's name for it is "bacterial SSU rRNA". It matches the Rfam family "Bacterial small subunit ribosomal RNA", at positions 556 to 1354 of the family's 1533-position model. Lineage: Bacteria; Bacillati; Actinomycetota; Actinomycetes; Mycobacteriales; Mycobacteriaceae. The record is from RNAcentral.
GGGCGUAGAGAGCUCGUAGGUGGUUUUUCGCGUUGUUCGUGAAAUCUCACGGCUUAACUGUGAGCGUGCGGGCGAUACGGGCAGACUUGAGUACUGCAGGGGAGACUGGAAUUCCUGGUGUAGCGGUGGAAUGCGCAGAUAUCAGGAGGAACACCGGUGGCGAAGGCGGGUCUCUGGGCAGUAACUGACGCUGAGGAGCGAAAGCGUGGGGAGCGAACAGGAUUAGAUACCCUGGUAGUCCACGCCGUAAACGGUGGGUACUAGGUGUGGGUUUCCUUCCUUGGGAUCCGUGCCGUAGCUAACGCAUUAAGUACCCCGCCUGGGGAGUACGGCCGCAAGGCUAAAACUCAAAGAAAUUGACGGGGGCCCGCACAAGCGGCGGAGCAUGUGGAUUAAUUCGAUGCAACGCGAAGAACCUUACCUGGGUUUGACAUGCACAGGACGCCGGCAGAGAUGUCGGUUCCCUUGUGGCCUGUGUGCAGGUGGUGCAUGGCUGUCGUCAGCUCGUGUCGUGAGAUGUUGGGUUAAGUCCCGCAACGAGCGCAACCCUUGUCUCAUGUUGCCAGCGGGUAAUGCCGGGGACUCGUGAGAGACUGCCGGGGUCAACUCGGAGGAAGGUGGGGAUGACGUCAAGUCAUCAUGCCCCUUAUGUCCAGGGCUUCACACAUGCUACAAUGGCCGGUACAAAGGGCUGCGAUGCCGCGAGGUUAAGCGAAUCCUCUUAAAGCCGGUCUCAGUUCGGAUCGGGGUCUGCAACUCGACCCCGUGAAGUCGGAGUCGCUAGUAAUCGCAGAUCAGCA